Molecule: microRNA, 21 nt
Filed under: Ornithorhynchus anatinus (platypus)
Lineage: Eukaryota; Metazoa; Chordata; Mammalia; Monotremata; Ornithorhynchidae
Description: oan-miR-1414-5p
Source: miRBase by way of RNAcentral
UGGGGUCACAGGGUGGUUGGC